RNAcentral lists this ribosomal RNA (523 nucleotides) under uncultured bacterium. RNAcentral describes it as "bacterial SSU rRNA". It matches the Rfam family "Bacterial small subunit ribosomal RNA", at positions 990 to 1509 of the family's 1533-position model. The record is from RNAcentral.
AGCGAACUUGGCAGGAGAGUGCCUUGGUGCCUUCGGGAACGCUGAGACAGGUGCUGCAGUGGCUGUCGUCAGCUCGUGUUGUAGAAAUGUUGGGUUAAGUCCCGCAACGAGCGCAACCCUUAUCCUUUGUUGCCAGCGAUUCGGUCGGGAACUCAAAGGAGACUGCCGGUGAUAAACCGGAGGAAGGUGGGGAUGACGUCAAGUCAUCAUGGCCCUUACGAGUAGGGCUACACACGUGCUACAAUGGCGCAUACAAAGAGAAGCGACCUCGCGAGAGCAAGCGGACCUCAUAAAGUGCGUCGUAGUCCGGAUCGGAGUCUGCAACUCGACUCCGUGAAGUCGGAAUCGCUAGUAAUCGUGGAUCAGAAUGCCACGGUGAAUACGUUCCCGGGCCUUGUACACACCGCCCGUCACACCAUGGGAGUGGGUUGCAAAAGAAGUAGGUAGCUUAACCCUCGGGAGGGCGCUUACCACUUUGUGAUUCAUGACUGGGGUGAAGUCGUAACAAGGUAGGCGUAGCGAG